GACUCUCGGCAACGGAUAUCUCGGCUCUUGCAUCGAUGAAGAACGUAGCGAAAUGCGAUACUUGGUGUGAAUUACAGAAUCCCGUGAACAAUCGAGUCUUUGAACGCAAGUUGCGCCCGAAGCCACUAGGCCGAGGGUACGGCUGCCUGGGUGUC
RNAcentral lists this ribosomal RNA (155 nucleotides) under Vigna umbellata (rice bean). RNAcentral describes it as "partial 5.8S ribosomal RNA". It matches the Rfam family "5.8S ribosomal RNA". Rfam says of the family: 5.8S ribosomal RNA (5.8S rRNA) is a component of the large subunit of the eukaryotic ribosome. It is transcribed by RNA polymerase I as part of the 45S precursor that also contains 18S and 28S rRNA. Lineage: Eukaryota; Viridiplantae; Streptophyta; Magnoliopsida; Fabales; Fabaceae. The record is from RNAcentral.